GUCCCAGUUCCCGGUGCCCAGGGUUUGCCCAACAUCAUCGAGGGUCAGACCUGUUGGCCGCACAACCGAGGCAAGAACUCUGAGCUGGAGGAGUGGCUGAGAGACGCAGCAAGGAUGAGCGUCAGAACAAGAAAGAGGAGACUUUGGGAGAUGACCUUUUCAGGUACAACCCCAAACCCACCAAGAAAAGAUGAGAGCACCUGGUUGUAACAUGUGAAGCCCUGCAGACAAAUGUUCAUCUUAAGACACAGGAAGGGAUGCCAACACCCCAUGGAAUGUUUUGCGCUUCUAGAAUUCUCAGUUUGAUAGAACUGCCAUCUCCGCUUCACUGAUAAUGUUCAUGAAUGGAUCUUUGAGGUAACUCUUGAUCAUUGUACUCAAAAUGACCAGAGGGGCCUGUCAAUGACAAAUGUUUAAACAUUUUUUUGUCGGUGAUAGAUGUGGGCAGAAAUGUCUAACUUUCUAUGUACUGUACACUAAUUAUAUACCUUGAUUUAGUCACUGAUGGCGAGCAAUGUAAACAAAUAAAUAGGUGUUCCGUUUCAAGAUUUUUAUUUGUUCAUAAUAGAAAAUACAGUAUACAAAACAUAUUAGAAAGUCAUUUGAGUUGUACAAGAGAGGAGUCCAACUCGACCACGCACAAAGCAGCGUGUCUGUCUGUUGUGAACAGGAGAAGACCGUGGGUUAUGUGUUGUAAGACAGUAGUAGAAAACCCUGGUUAGACCCCAGGGGUUGGGGAACCUGCUGUUUCCUUUUCUUAUUAAUCAACCCCUAGUUAAGGCACCUACUGUGUAGAUUGGACAUGUAGGUGUAAUUAGCCAUAAGCUGAUGGCCUAUCUGGGGGCAAGGUUGAGUGACUACCACCACCUUACAAUUACACCUAUCCACUGAUUCAUCUUUUCAGGUCUGGAUGUAGUGCUUAAGGGCUGGUUAGUUUGGAAUACAGCAUAUUGACCAGGAACUGUCCAUACAUUUUCAGUUUGCUGAUCUGGUCAACAAUCUAUAUUUUAUCCCAAUUCCACAAUUUGUUUCAUUUUUUCUUUUCUGCAAGCAGCUUCAGUCUUGAGGAUGACUGCAUGCGGAAAUAAACGGCAUAUGAAUACACACAUUCUAAAGGCGACUGAUUGGUUCAAUAAAUGAAUGAAACUCCA
Molecule: long non-coding RNA, 1151 nt
Organism: Oncorhynchus kisutch (coho salmon)
Lineage: Eukaryota; Metazoa; Chordata; Actinopteri; Salmoniformes; Salmonidae
Exons: 3
Source: RefSeq, a predicted model, not a curated record